Molecule: ribosomal RNA, 450 nt
Filed under: uncultured bacterium
Lineage: Bacteria
Description: partial 16S ribosomal RNA
Rfam family: Bacterial small subunit ribosomal RNA
Source: RNAcentral
GUGGGGAAUAUUGGACAAUGGGCGAAAGCCUGAUCCAGCCAUGCCGCGUGUGUGAAGAAGGUCUUCGGAUUGUAAAGCACUUUAAGUUGGGAGGAAGGGCAGUAAGUUAAUACCUUGCUGUUUUGACGUUACCGACAGAAUAAGCACCGGCUAACUUCGUGCCAGCAGCCGCGGUAAUACGAAGGGUGCAAGCGUUAAUCGGAAUUACUGGGCGUAAAGCGCGCGUAGGUGGUUUUGUAAGUUGGAGGUGAAAUCCCCGGGCUCAACCUGGGAACUGCCUCCAAAACUGCUGAGCUAGAGUACGGUAGAGGGUAGUGGAAUUUCCUGUGUAGCGGUGAAAUGCGUAGAUAUAGGAAGGAACACCAGUGGCGAAGGCGACUACCUGGACUGAUACUGACACUGAGGUGCGAAAGCGUGGGGAGCAAACAGGAUUAGAAACCCGUGUAGUCC